UACAGAGGUCCCAAGCGUUGUUCGGAUUCACUGGGCGUAAAGGGUGCGUAGGUGGCUUGGGAAGUUUGAUGUGAAAGCUCAGGGCUCAACCCUGAAAUGGCAUUGAAUACUAUCGAGCUGGAGGUUUGGAGGGGGGACUGGAAUUCUUGGUGUAGCAGUGAAAUGCGUAGAUAUCGUAAGGAAGACCAGUGGCGAAGGCGAGUCUCUGGACAGUUACUGACGCUGAGGCACGAAGGCCAGGGGAGCAAACGGG
Molecule: ribosomal RNA, 253 nt
Filed under: uncultured bacterium
Lineage: Bacteria
Description: partial 16S ribosomal RNA
Rfam family: Bacterial small subunit ribosomal RNA
Source: RNAcentral